RNAcentral lists this ribosomal RNA (251 nucleotides) under uncultured bacterium. RNAcentral's name for it is "partial 16S ribosomal RNA". It matches the Rfam family "Bacterial small subunit ribosomal RNA", at positions 525 to 775 of the family's 1533-position model. The record is from RNAcentral.
ACGUAGGGGGCGAGCGUUGUCCGGAAUUACUGGGCGUAAAGGGAGCGUAGGCGGUCUGAUAAGUUGGAUGUGAAAUACCCGGGCUUAACUUGGGGGGUGCAUCCAAUACUGUUGGACUAGAGUACAGGAGAGGAAAGCGGAAUUCCUAGUGUAGCGGUGAAAUGCAUAGAUAUUAGGAGGAACAUCGGUGGCGAAGGCGGCUUUCUGGACUGCAACUGACGCUGAGGCUCGAAAGCGUGGGGAGCAAACAG